UACGAAGGUCCCGAGCGUUGUUCGGAAUCACUGGGCGUAAAGGGAGCGUAGGCGGCGCGGUAAGUCAGAUGUGAAAUCCCGGGGCUCAACCCCGGAACUGCAUCCGAUACUGCCGUGCUAGAGGAUUGGAGAGGUAGCUGGAAUUCUUGGUGUAGCAGUGAAAUGCGUGGAUAUCAGGAGGAACACCGGUGGCGAAGGCGGGUCUCUGGGCCGAUACUGACGCUGAGGAGCGAAAGCGUGGGGAGCGAACAGG
Molecule: ribosomal RNA, 253 nt
Filed under: uncultured bacterium
Lineage: Bacteria
Description: partial 16S ribosomal RNA
Rfam family: Bacterial small subunit ribosomal RNA
Source: RNAcentral